This 449-nucleotide ribosomal RNA is filed under the name uncultured bacterium. Its description in RNAcentral is "bacterial SSU rRNA". It matches the Rfam family "Bacterial small subunit ribosomal RNA", at positions 28 to 507 of the family's 1533-position model. The record is from RNAcentral.
AAUGAACGUUGGCGGCGUGGAUUAGGCAUGCAAGUCGUACGGGCCGCAAGGCCAGUGGCGCAAGGGUGAGUAAUGCGACGGUAACCAACCCCAGGAAUGGGUAUAGCCGCGGGAAACUGCGGGUAAUCCCCAGCGACGUGCGGGAUCGGCAUCGAUCCUUCACCAAAGCUCCGGCGUCCUGGGACGGGCCGUUGUGGUAUUAGCUAGUUGGCGGGGUAACGGCCCACCAAGGCUUCGAUGCCUACCGGGCGUGCGAGCGUGGCCCGGCACACUGGGACUGAGACACUGCCCAGACUCCUACGGGAGGCUGCAGUCGAGAAUCUUCGGCAAUGGGCGCAAGCCUGACCGAGCGACGCCGCGUGGAGGAUGACGGUUUUCGGAUUGUAAACUCCUUUUCUCAGGGAAGAGCGAGGACGGUACCUGGGGAAUAAGUCACGGCUAACUACGUG